CAGUAGCCACGGGAAUACGGAGGGUGCAAGCGUUAUCCGGAUUUAUUGGGUUUAAAGGGUCCGUAGGCGGAUCUGUAAGUCAGUGGUGAAAUCUCACAGCUUAACUGUGAAACUGCCAUUGAUACUGCAGGUCUUGAGUAAAUUUGAAGUGGCUGGAAUAAGUAGUGUAGCGGUGAAAUGCAUAGAUAUUACUUAGAACACCAAUUGCGAAGGCAGGUCACUAAGAUUUAACUGACGCUGAUGGACGAAAGCGUGGGGAGCGAACAGGAUUAGAUACCCCUGUAGUCCCUGUCUCUUAUAC
Molecule: ribosomal RNA, 301 nt
Filed under: uncultured bacterium
Lineage: Bacteria
Description: partial 16S ribosomal RNA
Rfam family: Bacterial small subunit ribosomal RNA
Source: RNAcentral